AUGGAGUCAAUCAAAUAUUUCUGAAUGAUAGAGUUCUGCUUAACGAUAUCUAUGAGAAGAUCACUUGGCUGUAUAGAAUGCAACCAAGUAUUGUAAUAGCAGACUAGUUUUCAUUCUGUUCAUGAGAUGUAAUGAAAUGAGCAACACCUCUCGCGCUCCCUAGCAAUUGAUGGACUCCGUAAUCUUGUUUAACAGACUCCAAACGGGACUUAAAGACUGUUGUUUUGAUAAUCUAUAUAAUCUACUUAAAGGUCUGUUAGAAGCAUACCAAUCAACCGGAUAUAUGAUCUAACUGAAAGACAUUUAUCUAAAUGAUUUGACUUAGUCUGUUCAUGAGAGGUCUGUUGGAAGCAUACCAAGCAACCAGAUAAAUGGUCUAAUUGAAUUAUUACCCAAACAUUGGGUCUUAGUACGGUUAUACUUAUUACAGCCGUCACACAGCACUUUCAGACGGAUGUUAUAAUAACAAAUUCGGUAGAAGAUCAUUGGAAGGAAAGAACGCAACCAAGCAAAAUAAUAGCAGAUUUGUUAAGACAAUGCUUGGGGCGUGAGAUGUGAAGGACAUGUCGUUACCAUAGAUGCAUUCAAUGCUUUAAAGGGAUCUUUAUAGAAUGCCUAGUUGUACAGAGAAGUUAAAAACGUCAGAUUUAUGCAGAUGUAGUUGAAUCUUGUAUGGAAUAUGAUUUACUACUAAAUCACAAUAUCUGCAAAACUGUAUGCAUGUAUCAAAAUUUAUUUUAACAAUAGUAUGAAAGAUAUUGGAUAGUUUACUCGCCAUAUGUCACGUCUAUCAUAACUUAUCACAACUGAUUUGUUAAUGUCGCACGUCGAUGUUACUACAUACAAGUAAACAGUAUUUGGACUCUAUAUAUCAAAAGUUUUCUUUCCUUCUCUUUUUUCCUGACGAUUCAUUUUUCUUUGUUAAAAACAUUGUUAUCUAGAUAACAAGCUUAAACAAACCAGUAAAAUAUUUGUACAGCCUUCCACAUGUUACAUUGGGGUUUUAUUAUUAUUAUUUUCUGGUCACAUUACAACGAAUAAUGACUGGAUAAUCACGUAGUAUUCUUAUCUAUCUCAAUGUCAACACUGAUUUUCUUUCAUACAAUUUAAGUAAACUCUCUGCAAACCAGAUAACUCCUAUUUUCCAAAAAUAAAUACGCCUAUUUUCUAUAUUUAGCUUGUACUUUCCAACACGGAAGUUAUUUAAACGUCAAAUACCUAUUCAUAAAUCAUUAGCAUUGAAAUUUGAAUAUCUAACGUUUGCUUUCCACUGGAAAAUAUUCUGUCUCGGGACUAACAUUAAAACAGACAACUUGGUGGCGCAGCGAAUGGAAUGGCAGGCAAAAAUAAACUAUAUCGUCUUCUACGGGAUGAUGAAAACCCGUUGCUAUGUGGAAUAACAGCUAAAAUUCCUUUAGCGACUGAAACUCCAAUGAACCAUAUUCGUCAUGGGUCAAGACAAAGUUCACAAUGGAUCUCAACCUCAAGAAAACUUUCUGAUGUUGACAAAUUUAUAAGACUUAAGAGAAAGACAGAAGGAGCGUGUGUAAGAUGUAGAGUUGUAGAAAUAGAUGAAAUAAAGGUGCGCUGGUACGCAGAGAUGGGCUGGUAUAGAUUUCAACAACUUGUUCAAACAUUUAUCGGAACAAAUACUACAUAUCUAUUUUGUCAGUUCAUGCAACAGACGACGGGUCAAAUAUUAGAUUUUACCGACCAAAGAGUUAUGGACGCGUAUAUCUCAUCAGUUCUAUCCGGACAAGAAGACAAAAAAGCACGACGUUUUGCAAAGAACUAUAGCGAGGUUCUUGUUGAACGCUUUAUCCCCGCAGAUUGUUGUGUUGCUAUAUAUCACAGGUAAACUCAGCAAUACAACAAUAUAUUCUUAUGAUUAUCGGAAUGAGAAAUUUGUUGCAAAGUCAUUUCAGUGUUGAAUUAAUCAAACCGAGCCUGCAACAUUUUCGUUUUUGUCGUGUUGAGCGAUCUGUGAAGUUUCCACUUUUCUCUAUUUUCCUAUGCCAUUUUGUACUGACCACCUGAAAUCAGUAGAUGUAUUAUAAUAUGUUUGAUAUACACUGCAUUUCAACGUUUACAUUUCAGUAUGAAUAUUUGUUAUUUAUUUUAAUUUUUAUGAGUGUUUAGAAAUUGUUAGAGAUCAUACAUGUGAUAGAUACUACGUAUCUUAAAACGCAUCCUCUGUAUUUUCUGAAUGUUUUGUUGACUCAUGUAUUUUAACUAACAUAUAAUACAUAUCAUCACAGUUUAUUAUAAUUUAUGAAUGUGAAUCAUGUACUGACAUUAAGGUUUAUGGGGAAUAUCUUCUUCUUCUUCGCCAUGUCAUAUAAUAAAUAUUCAUACACUUUUAAGACUUUCUUUAAUAUAAACAAAGGAAGAUUUUACAGUGUAUUGUCUUGUCGAUUUAAACACGUUUUUCAAAAUGA
Mercenaria mercenaria is the source of this 2438-nucleotide long non-coding RNA. RefSeq lists it as uncharacterized. NCBI's taxonomy places the organism in Eukaryota, Metazoa, Mollusca, Bivalvia, Venerida, Veneridae. The record is from RefSeq and is a predicted model, not a curated record. The transcript has 2 exons.